This 83-nucleotide transfer RNA is filed under the name Candidatus Cloacimonadota bacterium. RNAcentral's name for it is "tRNA-Ser". It matches the Rfam family "tRNA". From Rfam's summary of the family: Transfer RNA (tRNA) molecules are approximately 80 nucleotides in length. Their secondary structure includes four short double-helical elements and three loops (D, anti-codon, and T loops). Lineage: Bacteria; Pseudomonadati; Candidatus Cloacimonadota. RNAcentral also lists the same sequence under 2 other names. The record is from RNAcentral.
GGAGGGGUGGCAGAGCGGUUGAAUGCACUCGACUUGAAAUCGAGCGACCGAAAGGUCCGUGGGUUCGAAUCCCACCCCCUCCG